UACGUAGGGUGCGAGCGUUAAUCGGAAUUACUGGGCGUAAAGCGUGCGCAGGCGGUUUUGUAAGCCAGGGGUGAAAUCCCCGGGCUCAACCUGGGAAUGGCAUUUGGGACUGCAAGGCUGGAGUGCGGCAGAGGAGACUGGAAUUCCUGGUGUAGCGGUGAAAUGCGUAGAUAUCGGGAGGAACACCAGUGGCGAAGGCGAUCAUCUGGGGUUGUUCUGACACUGAGGAGCGAAAGCUAGGGGAGCAAACGGG
RNAcentral lists this ribosomal RNA (253 nucleotides) under uncultured bacterium. RNAcentral describes it as "partial 16S ribosomal RNA". It matches the Rfam family "Bacterial small subunit ribosomal RNA", at positions 524 to 776 of the family's 1533-position model. The record is from RNAcentral.